Molecule: ribosomal RNA, 467 nt
Filed under: fungal sp. 2686 YZ-2011
Lineage: Eukaryota; Fungi
Description: eukaryotic LSU rRNA
Rfam family: 5.8S ribosomal RNA (bases 119-272)
Source: RNAcentral
AACCCUUUGUGACGUACUGAAAAGUUGCUUCGGCGGGAGGCUCCUCAGGGAGCGGACCGCCGGAGGAAUCCAAACUCUUGUUUUUUUGGCAUCUCUGAGUAGCUUAUAAAUAAGUUAAAACUUUCAACAACGGAUCUCUUGGUUCUGGCAUCGAUGAAGAACGCAGCGAAAUGCGAUACGUAAUGUGAAUUGCAGAAUUCAGUGAAUCAUCGAAUCUUUGAACGCACAUUGCGCCCGCCAGUAUUCUGGCGGGCAUGCCUGUUCGAGCGUCAUUUCAACCAUCAAGCCCCAGGCUUGUGUUGGAGCCCUGCGGCUGCCGCAGCCUCCUAAAAGCAGUGGCGGGCUCGCUAUCACACCGAGUGCAGUAGUUUACUCUUCGCUCAGGGCGUGUGGCGGGUUCCAGCCGUUAAACCCCCUACUUUUACAAGGUUGACCUCGGAUCAGGUAGGAAUACCCGCUGAACUUAA